GUGAAUCAUCAAAUUUUUGAACGCAAAUUGCACUCUCUGGUAUUCCGGAGAGUAUGCCUGUUUGAGGGUCAGUUUAAAUAAAAAAUCGUUGUGGUUGCUGCCUUUCGUGGUGACGCCCCGGUUUUGGGUCGUCUUGCCUUCGGUUAAUUGACCUAAAUUUUUGCUUGUUUUUUUCGAACGUAUUUAAAUGAUUUUACGUACGUUUGCGAUAUCGAAUACUAGUUGCGGUCUUCCUCAUGAUCC
RNAcentral lists this unclassified non-coding RNA (243 nucleotides) under Glomeraceae sp. RNAcentral describes it as "partial contains 5.8S ribosomal RNA and internal transcribed spacer 2". The stretch from base 1 to 71 matches the Rfam family "5.8S ribosomal RNA", at positions 84 to 154 of the family's 154-position model. Lineage: Eukaryota; Fungi; Glomeromycota; Glomeromycetes; Glomerales; Glomeraceae. The record is from RNAcentral.